GGUCAUUUAGAGGAAGUAAAAGUCGUAACAAGGUCUCCGUUGGUGAACCAGCGNAGGGAUCAUUACCGAGUUUACAACUCCCAAACCCCUGUGAACAUACCAAUUGUUGCCUCGGCGGAUCAGCCCGCUCCCGGUAAAACGGGACGGCCCGCCAGAGGACCCCUAAACUCUGUUUCUAUAUGUAACUUCUGAGUAAAACCAUAAAUAAAUCAAAACUUUCAACAACGGAUCUCUUGGUUCUGGCAUCGAUGAAGAACGCAGCAAAAUGCGAUAAGUAAUGUGAAUUGCAGAAUUCAGUGAAUCAUCGAAUCUUUGAACGCACAUUGCGCCCGCCAGUAUUCUGGCGGGCAUGCCUGUUCGAGCGUCAUUUCAACCCUCAAGCCCAGCUUGGUGUUGGGACUCGCGAGUCAAAUCGCGUUCCCCAAAUUGAUUGGCGGUCACGUCGAGCUUCCAUAGCGUAGUAGUAAAACCCUCGUUACUGGUAAUCGUCGCGGCCACGCCGUUAAACCCCAACUUCUGAAUGUUGACCUCGGAUCAGGUAGGAAUA
Molecule: ribosomal RNA, 547 nt
Filed under: Fusarium sp. JJP-2009a
Lineage: Eukaryota; Fungi; Ascomycota; Sordariomycetes; Hypocreales; Nectriaceae
Description: eukaryotic LSU rRNA
Rfam family: 5.8S ribosomal RNA (bases 214-367)
Source: RNAcentral